This 21-nucleotide microRNA is filed under the name Arabidopsis lyrata. RNAcentral's name for it is "aly-miR773b-5p". Its record names the gene aly-miR773b-5p. The record is from miRBase by way of RNAcentral. Lineage: Eukaryota; Viridiplantae; Streptophyta; Magnoliopsida; Brassicales; Brassicaceae.
UAUCUUUGAACAAACAGUUGA